RNAcentral lists this unclassified non-coding RNA (538 nucleotides) under Hevea brasiliensis (rubber tree). Lineage: Eukaryota; Viridiplantae; Streptophyta; Magnoliopsida; Malpighiales; Euphorbiaceae. The record is from RNAcentral.
UGAAAAGAAAAAUUAUAUAACCCAUUCAGAUUUUCAAAGGCAUGAAUUUGCAAACAAAAUUCUACUGCAAAAAUCCUAAUGCAGCAAUAGGUGAGUACUUCAAUUCAUUGUUCCAAACAAAAGCUCGAUUGCAAUGCUACUUCAAGAAUUACAUGAAUUACGCUCCCCGGUGCUGCAGCUGUUGGGAAUGGAUGAAACGUGAUCCGUUGAGUUUAAGCGAUUUGGUGAGAAAAGUGUUUUGACUUGGACCCUCUCAAGCGGAGGCACGAACCCAGUGCGGCGCGUAGAUGUAGUGGGAGGUUUUCGUCAAAAUCAGUUGGAAUUGAGGCUGCAAUGGUAGUUGAUUUUGAGGUAGGAAUGGAGGUGGUAAUUUCGUAGAGCUGCAGGAAAAGGACUGAGGAUGUAUGUUUGUAUGUAAGAGAAGCUUUGAAGAUUGUGGUUGUAGACGCCCAAACGGUGGCUUUGCCCAGCAAGUACCGGCGACGGAGGAUGAUUUCGGCCUGGAAAGGAGGGAAAUUGGGUUAAAUUUAGAUUUCGG